CCUACGGGAGGCAGCAGUGGGGGAUAUUGCACAAUGGGGGAAACCCUGAUGCAGCGACGCCGCGUGGGCGAAGAAGUAUUUCGGUAUGUAAAGCCCUAUCAGCAGGGAAGAAGGAAUGACGGUACCUGAGUAAGAAGCACCGGCUAAAUACGUGCCAGCAGACGCGGUAAUACGUAUGGUGCAAGCGUUAUCCGGAUAUACUGGGUGGAAAGGGAGCGCAGGCGGCACGGCAAGCCUGAUGUGAAAGCCCGCGGCCGAACCGCGGGACUGCAUUGGGAACUACCGGGCUGGAGUGCAUGAGGGGUAGGUGGAAUUCCUCGUGUAGCGGUGAAAUGCGUAGAGAUUAGGAGGAACACCAGAGGCGAAGGCGGCCUACUGGACGGUGACUGACGCUGAGGCUCGAAAGCGUGGGGAGCAAACAGGAUUAGAUACCCGUGUAGUC
This 442-nucleotide ribosomal RNA is filed under the name uncultured bacterium. RNAcentral describes it as "partial 16S ribosomal RNA". It matches the Rfam family "Bacterial small subunit ribosomal RNA", at positions 338 to 795 of the family's 1533-position model. The record is from RNAcentral.